CGGAUCCGCGCCGCUGCAGAGUUUGAUCCUGGCUCAGAUUGAACGCUGGCGGCAGGCUUAACACAUGCAAGUCGAGCGGUAACAGGAGAAGCUUGCUUCUCGCUGACGAGCGGCGGACGGGUGAGUAAUACUUAGGAAUCUGCCCAGUAGUGGGGGAUAGCUCGGGGAAACUCGAAUUAAUACCGCAUACACCCUACGGGGAAAAGGGGGCACUUGUGCUCUCGCUAUUGGAUGAGCCUAAGUCGGAUUAGCUAGUUGGUGGGGUAAAGGCCUACCAAGGCGACGAUCUGUAGCUGGUCUGAGAGGAUGAUCAGCCACACCGGGACUGAGACACGGCCCGGACUCCUACGGGAGGCAGCAGUGGGGAAUAUUGGACAAUGGGGGCAACCCUGAUCCAGCCAUGCCGCGUGUGUGAAGAAGGCCUUUUGGUUGUAAAGCACUUUAAGCAGUGAAGAAGACUCUAUGGUUAAUACCCAUAGACGAUGACAUUAGCUGCAGAAUAAGCACCGGCUAACUCUGUGCCAGCAGCCGCGGUAAUACAGAGGGUGCAAGCGUUAAUCGGAAUUACUGGGCGUAAAGCGAGCGUAGGUGGCUUGAUAAGUCAGAUGUGAAAUCCCCGGGCUUAACCUGGGAACUGCAUCUGAUACUGUUAGGCUAGAGUAGGUGAGAGGGAGGUAGAAUUUCAGGUGUAGCGGUGAAAUGCGUAGAGAUCUGAAGGAAUACCGAUGGCGAAGGCAGCCUCCUGGCAUCAUACUGACACUGAGGUUCGAAAGCGUGGGUAGCAAACAGGAUUAGAUACCCUGGUAGUCCACGCCGUAAACGAUGUCUACUAGUCGUUGGGGAACUUGAUUCCUUAGUGACGCAGCUAACGCAAUAAGUAGACCGCCUGGGGAGUACGGCCGCAAGGUUAAAACUCAAAUGAAUUGACGGGGGCCCGCACAAGCGGUGGAGCAUGUGGUUUAAUUCGAUGCAACGCGAAGAACCUUACCUGGUCUUGACAUAUCUAGAAUCCUGCAGAGAUGCGGGAGUGCCUUCGGGAAUUAGAAUACAGGUGCUGCAUGGCUGUCGUCAGCUCGUGUCGUGAGAUGUUGGGUUAAGUCCCGCAACGAGCGCAACCCUUUUCCUUAGUUACCAGCGGUUUGGCCGGGGACUCUAAGGAUACUGCCAGUGACAAACUGGAGGAAGGCGGGGACGACGUCAAGUCAUCAUGGCCCUUACGACCAGGGCUACACACGUGCUACAAUGGUAGGUACAGAGGGCAGCUACACAGCGAUGUGAUGCGAAUCUCAAAAAGCCUAUCGUAGUCCAGAUUGGAGUCUGCAACUCGACUCCAUGAAGUCGGAAUCGCUAGUAAUCGCGGAUCAGAAUGCCGCGGUGAAUACGUUCCCGGGCCUUGUACACACCGCCCGUCACACCAUGGGAGUUGAUUGCACCAGAAGUGGGUAGCCUAACUUUUAGAGGGCGCUCACCACGGUGUGGUCGAUGACUGGGGUGAAGUCGUAACAAGGUAA
RNAcentral lists this ribosomal RNA (1511 nucleotides) under uncultured bacterium. Its description in RNAcentral is "bacterial SSU rRNA". It matches the Rfam family "Bacterial small subunit ribosomal RNA". The record is from RNAcentral.